CAGAGGAUUUCAAGUAUACAUCUUUAUCAAGCAUGAGUUAAGAGCCCAACUGGUGGUGAGGAACGAAGGAGCAGGGAUAGUACUACAGAGGACAAAGAAGAAAAUAAAGUGGCCCUGUCCUAUCACUAAAGCCAAUGCUUUGUCUCAAGAAAUCAGUGAGCUGUGGCCAACUGGAAUAAUUUUUGUCCUCUAAAACACAAAGGAAGUCGUACAUAGCUCCUUUUCCUACAGGAAAAACAACAUGGUAUAAUGGAAGAAGAACAUAUUCUAAAAUAAGGCACAGAUGCUACAGCUGAACUUCUGCCAUAAUAAAGAGCUUAUUUCCCUGUGCCAAGCACCACCUCUUUACCACCA
RNAcentral lists this long non-coding RNA (354 nucleotides) under Pan troglodytes (chimpanzee). Its description in RNAcentral is "long non-coding RNA NONPTRT011046". The record is from RNAcentral. Lineage: Eukaryota; Metazoa; Chordata; Mammalia; Primates; Hominidae.